GGAGGCGGGACUAGCCCGAUUCCCGCCGCUUGGCCCCGCCAUUGGCGGGCUGUUUGAAUGACGGAAGUGACGGGAGCUUGGCGAUGGCUGCCCCGCAGGCGCACAAACGGCUGUUGGGAAGCUGGUGGGUCGCGGGCGCCCGGGAGGUCUCCGUCUGAGCUGCGGUUCCUGAUUCCGGGCCCCCGGUUUUCAGAAACUUUAAAGUACCUGGAAAUGAAAAGAAAGGUAGGGAAUGCUGGCAAGCUGAGAUUGAGUCCUAAUGAGGAAGCUCACAUUUUAAAGGAAGAUUAUGAAAGACGACGAAAACUAAGAUUGCUACAGGUUCGAGAACAAGAAAGGGGUAUCGCUUUACAGAUAAGAGAAGACAUAAAACAGAGGAGAAAUCAGCAAUUAACUCGUUUGGCAGAGGAACUAAGGACAGAAUGGAAAGAAUCACAAACUCAGAAAAUAAAGAACUUGGAAAAGCUGUAUUUGGCAAGUUUAAGAAGUAUGGGAGAGGGACACCAACAUGCCAAAGAAAAUGAACCUGAUUUGAAUGCUCUGGCACGGCGGGCAGCAGAAAGAAGAAGGAAAGCAGAAAUGAGGCAUAAAGAAGCUCUGAAAUUACAAAAGAAUAAAAAAGAAGAACUAGUGAAACAAAAAACCUGGCAUAUAACAGCUCGAAAGGAAGCACUGCUUGUGGAAAAAGAGAGAUCGGCCAAAAUUACAAGUCUGCCACCACCACCCCCAGCUCUUUUUGAGAACAUUGAACUAAAGAGAACUUCUAAUGUGAAAACUGGUAGAUCCACCUAUCAUCAUCUUUGCACUUUUGUGAGCAGAGAGAUGGACACAGAGCAGCCAGAUCCUCAUUUGGCUGCUGAAGAAGAAGCUAAAAAAUUGGAAGAACGACAAAAACAGGCAGCACAGGAGAGAAUGGAACAGUAUCAAAAGGCUCAUGUGCGGGGAUUUCAAGCAAUGAAAAAGAUCCAUUUGGCUCAAACUCAGGAGAAACUAAUGAAAGAACUCAAACAACUCCAACAAGAGGACCUGGCACGUAGGAGACAGACUGUGGCACAGAUGCCACCACAACUCAUUGAGCUUCCAUACAAACGCAGUGAAAUGAAAGAAGACUGGCAGAGAGAGCUGGAAUUUGCCUUUGAAGACAUGUACAAUGCAGACAGGAAAGUGAAAGGAAACCUGAUUUUGCACCUCGAACCGGAACCUUUGCCCACUGUGACUGAUCAGAUCCAAGAUGAAGAACUGGACCUUUCAAUGGAACAAGAAAGUUUAGGAGAAACUGAAAAUAGUCCAGUUACAGAAGCCGAAACAAUAUGUUCCAGCGAAGCAGAAGUUCCUUUGGCAAUAAAGACCCACCAGGUCCCUUCAAAAAUUCUUUUUAAGAAAUUAUUAAAUAAGAUCCGAAGCCAAAAAUCUCUCUGGACGAUUAAAUCCAUGUCUGAGGAUGAAAGUGAAGUGAUUACAGCUCUUAGUGAAACUGAGAGUAAAGCACCAACAGUCGAAUCAGGAGGAACUGUUGGCGAGGAGAGGACAUCAUCCUCUGGGCAGGAACAAGUUGCUGAAAGUGAUACUUUAACAAUUGACUCUGGACCACUUACUAGUGAAGGGAAACCACUUUCAUUGGAUACAGACUCUGAAAAGGAACAAGAAAUGAAGGAGGCUCAGCCUAUCACAGCUGUAGCUCAGAGUUCAAUUCUACUUCAUCCUCAAGAAGAAGCAUCCAGAAUUAGAAUGGCAGCAAGGCAGAAACAGAUAAUGGAAAUAGAAGAGCAAAAGCAAAAGCAGUUGGAAUUACUUGAACAAAUUGAACGACAGAAGUUACGAUUAGAAACUGAUUGCUUCAGGGCUCAGCUGGAAGAAGAAAAGAGGAAAAGAACGCAACAGAUUGGGGUUGGCACUGCUCCAGCGCCAUGCACUGUAACUUAUGAUGAAGAUAAUCAUAGGCAGAUGAUUCAUAACUAUCAACAUCAGCUUUUACAGCAGAACAGGUUUCACAGACAGUCUGUUGAAACAGCCAGGAAACGAUUACUUGAAUAUCAGACUAUGUUAAAAGGAAAGUACUCAUCUGGGUUAGCCACUUCACUGACAUCUGAUUCUGUUAAAUCAGUACUACCACAGAAUACUGAAAGACCCACUGUCAUAUCAGAGCAUUGGGAUCAAGGUCAGAGACCCAAGCUGAGUCCUAACAAAUACCUGCCUGUGCCAUCCAUACAGAGCUCCAGAUCAGAAGAAGAUCCUUUUCAGAUUCCAAGACAAAGUCUCUUUCCACAAAGACAGGUAGAAACAGACAUGGUAAUCAAUUCAGAUGUUUUAGCCAAGCAGUCUUUGGAAUCAAAGGAACAGCCUAAGCAACUCUCACAGAGUGAAGUACAACAGAGAGGCUAUAAAUUGGUUCAUAAAGAUUCUCAUACACUUCCAAAGCCUUUGUCACAUGAUAGGCUGCUAGUAAUACAGGAUCCUAAAGAAAUAGCUGAAAUAUCUCGGGCAACAAUUUCUCAAACUUUAGAUCCCCAGCAGAGGUUCUCAGAGAACAAGGAAAGUAUACCCUCCAAGCUAACUGAACGUUCUUCAUUCCAACCAGCGGCAGCUGAGCAUGCUUUUAGUUCUCUGCCUGCUACAGUUGAAUCUGGAAAAAUCCAGGAAUCCUUUGUAGCCAUGAACAAAAGUACAGUUUCUGUAAGCCCUUCUGUAAUCAGCCACAUGCAGGGUAAGUCUUUGCCAACCUCAGAAAAUAUCACAGCCCACCUGGGUAAUUUGAAGGCUCUCCAAGAACAGUUAGACCUACAGAAGGAGGUUCUUCGGUCAAGACAGGAAGCUCAGGAACGAUUGCUUUUGUACAAACAGAAAGAAUUGGAAGGACAAACUGGCCUCUCUGUCUCCCUUCCAUUAGUAUCUCCGGAUUCAUUUGCUACACUGCCUUCUGCCAGAGCUGAAUCGGGGAGAAUCCAGGAAUCUUCUCCAACCAGGGAUGAUACUGCAGUUCCCUUAGGCCAUCUUGGGGUCCCACAACUUCCAGAUAGGCUUUGGAGUUUUUCACAACCUGUCUUAUCACAGCCAGAUAAUUUUAACUUUCUCCAAGAACAGUUUCAUAUUCAGAGGGACAGCCUUCAGGCUAGGCGAGAAGCCCAAGAAGUGUCAUGUGUACAUAAACAGAGUGAAUUGGAUGGAAGAAUAUGGUCUGAACAGACUGCACCCCCUUCUCUCCCUUCGCAGGUAGCUCAGCAUACAUUUACUUCACUGCCUUCUGCUGGCACUGGAAAGAUCCAGCCACAGUAUUCAUCUGAGAGCGUGAAGGGUUUUCUCUCAAGCCAGUCUGAAAACCAGAAAUCUCGGGAUGGGUCUUUGAGUUUCCUACAGGAGUUCUUCCCUUUGCAUGAUAGUUUGCAGUUGCUCCGAGAACAGGUGACUAUACAGAGCGAUGCCCUUCAGGCCAGGCAGGAAGCCCAGGCAGAAUUGCUUCUGCAUAGACAGAGGGAUUUGGGUGAGUCUGGGCAAAUGGGUUCUUCACUUCCACCAGCAGCUGCUCCAUGUUUAGUUGCUUCACAAGCUUCUGCUAAAACUGAGCCUAGGAGAAUUCAGAACUUUGAUUUAUCUGAAAAGGAGAAUGUUAUUCCCUCCAGUCAUCCGGUAAUCCCAGCAUUUCAGGAUGGCCCUCGUAGUUUUCCACAGCAUAACCUGCCACGGCAAGAAAAUUUGACAGCACUCCAAGAACAGUCGCAUACACACAGGGUAAUGCUUGGCGCUGAACAAGAAACUCGGGAAUUUGUACACAAACCACAUGAAUUAGAGAAAACGGUUUCUUCUGAACAGACUGGCACCUCUUUAUCCCUGUCCCAGGUAGCUGAGUCUGAAAGAUGCCAGGAGUUUAUGCCAGGCAAGAGUGACGGUGUAGUUGCCUUAAGCUCUUCUACGAUCCCGAGGUUUCAGGAAAGACGUCUGGGAUUUUUACAACCUACAUUACCUCUGCAAGAUAACUUGGAGGAACACCAAGAAUGGCUGGACACAGAGAAGGCGGCCCUUCAUUUCAGCCAGAAAAGCCAAGGAAAGGUAUCUUUGGAACAAACUGACUCCUCAUUCAAGCCCCAGGUAGGGCAGCCUUCAUUUACUUCGUUACCUUCUGCUGAGUCUGGUACAACCCAGGAGCGUCCUUCAACAGAGAGUGACAGCAAAAGUCUUUCAAGCCCUCUUCAGAUCCCACAGUUGCAGGAUAGGCUUUGGAGGAUAUCCCAGCUUAUUCGGCCUCAGCAAGAUAAUUUGAAGGCGCUCGGGGAAAGGUUAGCUACACAGAGAGAAGCUAUCAUUCAGUCUAGACAGGAAGCUCAGGAAGAAUUACUUCUGCACAAACAGAGUGAGUGGAAGCAAGGAAGAUCUCCUGAGCAUGUUGGCUCCUCUUUCUUCUCACCCCCUCUUGUACAGCAUUCUCUUGCUUCAUUACCUCUUAGUGAAUCUGGGAGAACCCAAGAACCUUGUUCAACUACGAGUGAUAAUACAGCUUCAAGACAUUCUGAGAAACCGGGAUUGCCUGAUAGGCUUUUCGGUUUAUCACAGCCUGUUUUACCUAAACAAGAUCACUUGAUUGCACUUCAGCAAGAACACUUGCAUGCACGAAGCAGUUCUCUUCCAUGUGGCAAGAAAACCCAGAAACACUUGGUUUUGCCCAGACAAUAUGAAUUUGAGGAGAAGUUACCUUCUGAGCAUUUUGUCCAGCUUCCCCAUGGUGAUUUGAAAGUACUUCAGGAGCAGUUAGAAAUACAAAGAAGAGCCAUUCGAUCUAGACAGGAAGUCCAAGAAGAAUUACUUUUGCAAAGACUAAGUAAAUUGGAGAAAAGGGUGUCCUCUGAGCAGAUUAGCUCUUCAUCGGUAUCCCAGGUAGCACCGCCUGUUGCUGACUCUGAAAGAAUCCAAAAGCCUCUUGCAACCAGAAGUGACCGUACUGUUGCCUCAAGUCACUCUGAGAUCUCAGCAUCCCAGGAUAGACUUCCGAGUCCAUCACUGCCUGUUCUGCCUUCGCAGGGUAUUUUGGCAGCACGGUUGGACUUCGAGAGGGAAGUGGUGCAUUCUAAUGAGAAGGGCCAGGAGGAACUGUUAAACAACCAAACAAAAUCGACUGCAAGUGAAUCUUCCGAGCAUCCUAUUCCCUCUUUGUUUUUACCCACAGAAAAAAAGCAUCCAUUUAUUCCACUCCCUUUUGCUGAAGUUAAAUCUAAAAACCAUGGUGAAUUGUAUUCAUCUAAGAAUGAACAGGCAGCUCCCUCAAGCAAUUCCAUGACCCCCAGACUUCAAGAUAGACUUUUGUGUUUUUCACAACCUGUCUUAACUCUGCAAGAUAACCUAGGACUUCAGAAGCAGCUGGAUCUACAAAAGAAAGUUCUGCAUUAUAGCCAAAAAGCCCAAGAAGAAUUGCUUGUACAGAGACAGACAACACUGCAGCAGCAGGUACAGAAACAUCAAGAGACUUUGAGAGAUUUCUUUAAACAUAGUCAGAUAAGUAAGCCCACAGCUGAAGGUGAUACAGAAGCUCAGAAGCUCAGAGAGUGGCUUCCUGUUCUCCAAGACCUAGCAAGGGCCGAUCAGGAAGGCAUCAGUUCUGCGAAUAGGAGCAACUCUGGUGAUAAUCAGCUGCUUUCAGAAGAGAGUGGUGCCAAGCAAAGUGGUGAGCAUCUGGACAAAGAACUGGGCAGGAGAUCCUCAAAGCCACCUGUAGCAAAAGUGAAAUGUGGAUUGGACUUGAACCAGCAUGAACUCAGUGCUAUACCAGAGGUAGAGUCACCAGCAAGUGGCAGAACAUCUUUACUAGGUAAACCAGAUUUUUAUCAAGACAGGGACCCCCUAAGGGUCUCAAUAAGCCGAGAACAAAGUUUCUUUGGGAGCCAACUGAACUGUGAUGCAUUUGGUUGUCUUUACCCCAUUGCCCAGGAAUACGUUUGUAAUGAUGACUCCAAGGAGGCAGUCAAGGUCAAGGAGGCUAUGGCUGAGAAUCAUGCCGUGGAGGAAGAACAGACAUAUCUGAGUCCAACUAUGAAGCCGGAUAAUGCUGAAACAGAAGAGAUUUAUCAUGAGCCAUUAUCAUCAGUAACUGUUUCUACUGGGAGCUUUUUAAGUUAUGAAAACACAGAUCUGAGCCUUACAGAUCCAGGGUCAUUUUCAGAGCUGGACCCAAGGGAACAAGAAUCUACCACUGGUAAAGAAGAGGAAAGAGAUAUUUUAAGUUCUGUACUUCCCUCAUCACAAGUUCAUUAUCAAAGGCAGGACUCUCGGGAAGUUCAUCAACCUCUGUUGCCUGCAGUGGAAAAGUUUACAGCUGUUGACCUUGACUUUCCGGAAUUGGAGCACACUUUUCCAAAUUUGCAUCGUCAGCUAUUUAAACCCUUAGAACCACAUCCAGAUUUUGAUAUAUCAUCAUAUUCUGGGAUUUCUCAAGACAGCAGAGACUUUUUCCAGAACUCAGAUUCUUCAUGUGAAAGCCACCACACUAAUGCCGCACCCAGAAGCACAGUUUCCUUUACAGCACUGAAAACCAGCCUGAAUUCUUCUAACACGAGCCCAAACCAGCAGCUGGACCCUCCUUUGGCUCAUGCCGCUGCUCAGAUAUUUGCCACAGAAAAGACUGAAGGAUCUGAACAAUCUUUUCAACAGCUUCUGCCGGAAUUUUCUUCACAGGAGGGGAGCCAACAUAUUGAUCUACCAAGUAUUUUUAGCAUUGAAGCAAGAGAUUCUUCCCAAGGCAUGGAAAAUCAGAACUAUUCUGAACAGAUUGAAAUGCAAAAUAAGAAAAAAAGUGUUCAUUUCCACCUCUGUGUAGGAAAUUUACAGAGUUCAGUCUUCAGUUCCUCUGAUGAGGCUAAUGUAUUUCAUCCCUUAAGUCUACAGUAUAGCACACCGUGUGGGUCUACCUCUAGUGAGUGCUCAACAAAAGCCCAACCCGAAGGCAGAAAAGAAAGACUGGGCUUUGAAGAACUAUCAGAAAGAGGACUUGAUGGAGAUAAAAAUGAAAGCCUUGGGGUUUUAAAUAUAAAUUCACAUGCGGAGGAAAUGGAUUCCCAAUCCUGUGUCAGAACAGUGGAAAGGGGAACUUCAGUUGAGGCACCAUAUUCUAAUGAGAAUGAAAAGUAUUUUAAGAAUUCCACUAAGACAGAAACUCCAAAAAUCCCAGGAAACCUUUCUCACCUAGCAGAGUCAGAGCUCUUUUUAAGUUCUGGAUCAUUACAGAGCUCUAUUCCAGUGUGGGAGACAGAGUCUGGCCAUGGUAUAAUUGAAGAACCAGAGCUUACAUUAGUAAGCACCAGUGAUAGCAGUAUUGCUGAAAUGGAUCUUGCAAAUCUAACACUAGAAGAAAAGAAAGGAAAUGAGGCAAAAAGCAGUUCUCAGGUGAGUGAAUUUCUACCUUUUGUAUCAGUAACAGAAACCUCGGAUUAUCCAGAUGUAUCUGAACACGGCACGGAGGAGCGCAUGAUUGUGUCUGCAGAAACCCCUCCAAAGAUUAUAGCUCUACCUGGGAGCUUACAAGAAGCAUUUAUAAAGAGGAAAAAAUCAUUUAUAGAAAGAUCCUCCCAGAGACAGAAAGAAAUAAAGAAUAAAAUUCGUAUUCCUGAAAAUUCUCAAAUCAAAAUAGCUAAGGAGAAACCUACAGACUCAUCUGUGAAUCGCCUGAAGGGUGUGCAUAAAGUUAAGGUUAGAGUGUCACUUCCUGAAGACAGAAAGACUGCACAAGCCCUCAUGCAUCAAAGGACCCUAAGAUCUGCGUAUACAUUUCUUACAGAUCAUACAAUCAAUUAGCUGAAGUCAAACAGCAAAGGGAAGAGAAAGCAAAGCAAGAUGCAUACGCCCAAAACAGAGCAAGGGCUAAAGAAUUUCAUAAGCAAACACUGGAGAAACUUAGAGCCAAAAAUACAUGCUGACUUUCUACUAAAAGUGUAAAGUUUUUUUUAAAUUAUGUGUAACAUAAGCAAAAUUAUUUAAAGCCAAUAAAUUUUUAUUUAAGGAG
Lutra lutra (Eurasian river otter) is the source of this 7981-nucleotide RNA transcript. It is a transcript of the gene named centrosomal protein 295, with no coding region annotated. The transcript is spliced from 30 exons. The record is from RefSeq and is a predicted model, not a curated record. Lineage: Eukaryota; Metazoa; Chordata; Mammalia; Carnivora; Mustelidae.